Molecule: non-coding RNA, 848 nt
Organism: Cyanistes caeruleus (blue tit)
Lineage: Eukaryota; Metazoa; Chordata; Aves; Passeriformes; Paridae
Source: RefSeq, a predicted model, not a curated record
UGUGGAUUUUGGGGUGAUUAUGGGUGGGGGAGUGAUGACAUUUGGGGUGAUGAUGGUGGGGGGUUCUGGGGAUGGUUAAGGGGGUGAUGGGUUAUGGAGUGAUAGGUGCAGGUGACGAAGAUGGGUGUGGGGUGGUGAAUUCUGGGGUGAUUAUGAUGGGUUGGGGGAUUAUGGGGACAGUUUGUAGGGUGAUGGGUGGGGGCUGAUGAAUUUUGGGGUGACAAUGAUGAUGGGGGGUGAUAUGUUAUGGGGUGAUGGGUGGGCAGUGAUGAACUUUGGGGUUAUGAUGAUGGGUGGAGGGUGAUGGGGAUGGUUUGGCGGCUGAUGAGUUAUAUGGUGAAUUUUAAAUUAUGAAAAUGUUAAAAGCUGUAUCAUUUCCAACAGGGAGACCCCCCCACACCCCCAACCCCAUUCCUCCUCCGGUUGGGCACAGAGCUGAUAAGACACAGGGAGGGUGGGGGAAUGGUCCUGAUGCCUCCCUCCACCCCAUGCAAGUUAUGGGGCAGUUUGAAGCCGUUUUAGGGGAGAUGCUUUAAUAUUCUGUGGUCUGAGAAGAUGGUGCUUGGAUCUGGAGCUUGCUCCUCACACUCCAGGUCUGGUCCCGGUAUGGAAGUGACUGUAGGAAUGGAGCACCCCACCAUGGGACAUUCCUGGGUCAACUCCAGACAUAAAGAGUGGUAAACUGAAGGCACUGCUAUGCAGGCAGUGCCACCUUUCAGAACAUAGAAACCCAAAAUGUUUUCAUGGGGAUUUCAAGCUGCAAAGCAGGCAGCUGGUGUCUGCUUCUCUCCCAGGAGCCAGGAACUCCCCUUCAUGGUUUAGCACAUGGCACUUCCUCCAGUGGUUUU